RNAcentral lists this ribosomal RNA (465 nucleotides) under uncultured Klebsiella sp. Its description in RNAcentral is "bacterial SSU rRNA". It matches the Rfam family "Bacterial small subunit ribosomal RNA", at positions 338 to 795 of the family's 1533-position model. The record is from RNAcentral. Lineage: Bacteria; Pseudomonadati; Pseudomonadota; Gammaproteobacteria; Enterobacterales; Enterobacteriaceae.
CCUACGGGGGGCUGCAGUGGGGAAUAUUGCACAAUGGGCGCAAGCCUGAUGCAGCCAUGCCGCGUGUGUGAAGAAGGCCUUCGGGUUGUAAAGCACUUUCAGCGGGGAGGAAGGCGGUGAGGUUAAUAACCUCAUCGAUUGACGUUACCCGCAGAAGAAGCACCGGCUAACUCCGUGCCAGCAGCCGCGGUAAUACGGAGGGUGCAAGCGUUAAUCGGAAUUACUGGGCGUAACGCGCACGCAGGCGGUCUGUCAAGUCGGAUGUGAAAUCCCCGGGCUCAACCUGGGAACUGCAUUCGAAACUGGCAGGCUAGAGUCUUGUAGAGGGGGGUAGAAUUCCAGGUGUAGCGGUGAAAUGCGUAGAGAUCUGGAGGAAUACCGGUGGCGGAGGCGGCCCCCUGGACAAAGACUGACGCUCAGGUGCGAAAGCGUGGGGAGCAAACAGGAUUAGAUACCCUAGUAGUC